CCUACGGGAAGCAGCAGUGGGGAAUAUUGCACAAUGGGCGAAAGCCUGAUGCAGCGACGCCGCGUGAGGGAUGACGGCCUUCGGGUUGUAAACCUCUUUCAGUAGGGAACAAGGCCAGCAUUUUUGUUGGUUGAGGGUACUUGCAGAAGAAGCGCCGGCUAACUACGUGCCAGCAGCCGCGGUAAUACGUAGGGCGCAAGCGUUAUCCGGAAUUAUUGGGCGUAAAGAGCUCGUAGGCGGUUUGUCGCGUCUGCCGUGAAAGUCCGGGGCUCAACUCCGGAUCUGCGGUGGGUACGGGCAGACUAGAGUGAUGUAGGGGAGACUGGAAUUCCUGGUGUAGCGGUGAAAUGCGCAGAUAUCAGGAGGAACACCGAUGGCGAAGGCAGGUCUCUGGGCAUUAACUGACGCUGAGGAGCGAAAGCAUGGGGAGCGAACAGGAUUAGAUACCCUGGUAGUCCAUGCCGUAAACGUUGGGCACUAGGUGUGGGGGACAUUCCACGUUUCCGCGCCGUAGCUAACGCAUUAAGUGCGCCGCAUGGAGACGC
This 545-nucleotide ribosomal RNA is filed under the name uncultured bacterium. Its description in RNAcentral is "bacterial SSU rRNA". It matches the Rfam family "Bacterial small subunit ribosomal RNA", at positions 338 to 882 of the family's 1533-position model. The record is from RNAcentral.